This 237-nucleotide ribosomal RNA is filed under the name uncultured bacterium. RNAcentral describes it as "partial 16S ribosomal RNA". It matches the Rfam family "Bacterial small subunit ribosomal RNA", at positions 100 to 334 of the family's 1533-position model. The record is from RNAcentral.
CCGGCACGGGUGAGUAACACGUAUCCAACCUGCCGUCUACUCUUGGACAGCCUUCUGAAAGGAAGAUUAAUACAAGAUGGCAUCAUGAGUUCACAUGUUCACAUGAUUAAAGGUAUUCCGGUAGACGAUGGGGAUGCGUUCCAUUAGAUAGUAGGCGGGGUAACGGCCCACCUAGUCUUCGAUGGAUAGGGGUUCUGGGAGGAAGGCCCCCCACAUUGGAACUGAGACACGGUCCAA